RNAcentral lists this transfer RNA (65 nucleotides) under Monochamus sparsutus. RNAcentral's name for it is "tRNA-Ser". Lineage: Eukaryota; Metazoa; Arthropoda; Insecta; Coleoptera; Cerambycidae. The record is from RNAcentral.
AGUUAAUGAGCUUGUAUAAGCAUAUAUUUUGAAAAUAUAAGAAAGAUACUAAUAUCUAUUAACUU